RNAcentral lists this ribosomal RNA (1372 nucleotides) under uncultured bacterium. RNAcentral describes it as "bacterial SSU rRNA". It matches the Rfam family "Bacterial small subunit ribosomal RNA", at positions 28 to 1381 of the family's 1533-position model. The record is from RNAcentral.
GAUGAACGCUGGCGGCGUGCCUAAUACAUGCAAGUCGAGCGAACGGACGAGAAGCUUGCUUCUCUGAUGUUAGCGGCGGACGGGUGAGUAACACGUGGAUAACCUACCUAUAAGACUGGGAUAACUUCGGGAAACCGGAGCUAAUACCGGAUAAUAUUUUGAACCGCAUGGUUCAAAAGUGAAAGACGGUCUUGCUGUCACUUAUAGAUGGAUCCGCGCUGCAUUAGCUAGUUGGUAAGGUAACGGCUUACCAAGGCAACGAUGCAUAGCCGACCUGAGAGGGUGAUCGGCCACACUGGAACUGAGACACGGUCCAGACUCCUACGGGAGGCAGCAGUAGGGAAUCUUCCGCAAUGGGCGAAAGCCUGACGGAGCAACGCCGCGUGAGUGAUGAAGGUCUUCGGAUCGUAAAACUCUGUUAUUAGGGAAGAACAUAUGUGUAAGUAACUGUGCACAUCUUGACGGUACCUAAUCAGAAAGCCACGGCUAACUACGUGCCAGCAGCCGCGGUAAUACGUAGGUGGCAAGCGUUAUCCGGAAUUAUUGGGCGUAAAGCGCGCGUAGGCGGUUUUUUAAGUCUGAUGUGAAAGCCCACGGCUCAACCGUGGAGGGUCAUUGGAAACUGGAAAACUUGAGUGCAGAAGAGGAAAGUGGAAUUCCAUGUGUAGCGGUGAAAUGCGCAGAGAUAUGGAGGAACACCAGUGGCGAAGGCGACUUUCUGGUCUGUAACUGACGCUGAUGUGCGAAAGCGUGGGGAUCAAACAGGAUUAGAUACCCUGGUAGUCCACGCCGUAAACGAUGAGUGCUAAGUGUUAGGGGGUUUCCGCCCCUUAGUGCUGCAGCUAACGCAUUAAGCACUCCGCCUGGGGAGUACGACCGCAAGGUUGAAACUCAAAGGAGUUGACGGGGACCCGCACAAGCGGUGGAGCAUGUGGUUUAAUUCGAAGCAACGCGAAGAACCUUACCAAAUCUUGACAUCCUUUGACAACUCUAGAGAUAGAGCCUUCCCCUUCGGGGGACAAAGUGACAGGUGGUGUAUGGUUGUCGUCAGCUCGUGUCGUGAGAUGUUGGGUUAAGUCCCGCAACGAGCGCAACCCUUAAGCUUAGUUGCCAUCAUUAAGUUGGGCACUCUAAGUUGACUGCCGGUGACAAACCGGAGGAAGGUGGGGAUGACGUCAAAUCAUCAUGCCCCUUAUGAUUUGGGCUACACACGUGCUACAAUGGACAAUACAAAGGGCAGCGAAACCGCGAGGUCAAGCAAAUCCCAUAAAGUUGUUCUCAGUUCGGAUUGUAGUCUGCAACUCGACUACAUGAAGCUGGAAUCGCUAGUAAUCGUAGAUCAGCAUGCUACGGUGAAUACGUUCCCGGGUCU